GGCCUUUCAUAGUCAUCUUGCACGUUAAACCCCAUGGGUAUUUUGAAAUGUUAGCAGGUAUGCAUAUAUCUUAAUUCAAGAUUACAAAAAACAACAAAAUUCAUAUCAAUCAACUUAAGUUUGGUUGGAAUUAGUUCAGUAGUUUCAAAGGAGAAGAAGUUUGGAAAUAUGAUAAACAAAUUGUGUAAAAUUGUCUUUAAAGGGCAAUAACUCCUUCAGGGGUCAAUUGACAGUUUUGGUUAUAUAAACUUAUUUGUAGAUCUUACUUUGCUGAAAAAUUUUGUUGUUUACAGUUUAUCAGAUUUGCUCAAACUGCUUUGGUUUUUGAGAUAUAUAAGCCAAAAUCUACAUUUUACCCCUAUGUUCUAUUUUCAGCCUUGGUGUCCAUGUUCUUUGAUCAAACAGAAAAUAAAACACCAACUUUAUUCUAGAUACUCUAAGGAUCAUUCAGCUUAAGUUUGGUUUGAAUUGGUUCAGUAGUUUCAGAGGAGAAGAUGUUUGAAAUAGUUUACACCAAACAUACGGCGACGGACACCAAAUGAUGGCUAAAGGUCACCUUUCCGAAUGUUUUCAAUUAAUUGUUGAAAGAUACCAUGGAUGCAUGAUUUUCUUUCCUUGACACAUUUCAGGAGUCAAGCAGAGAUUAACCAACAUUAUCUACACACAAUUU
RNAcentral lists this long non-coding RNA (670 nucleotides) under Mytilus galloprovincialis (Mediterranean mussel). The record is from RNAcentral. Lineage: Eukaryota; Metazoa; Mollusca; Bivalvia; Mytilida; Mytilidae.